UGGUAGUUACCAAAACAAUGUGGCUGAGUGAAGGACAUGAGCUAUAGUAGAAUUGGUAUUUAUGGUAAAUACCUGUGGGUUCGUGAAUGGGCAGUACCCACAUAACAAAGCACAAAGACAUAGAAACAGGUCAUUUAAUUACAAACAAACUAUUUACAUUUGCAGUAGAACUUUUAAAGAGAAACGUUUUUUAACGCUAAGAAAUAGGUGAAGAUGGGAGAUCUGCAGUGAGGAAAGCAAUAUGGCGGCAGUCAGCAGGAUUUCCCAUCACGCAGUCACUGUAAUUUUUAAAACUUGUGCCCAAGUUCAGGAAAAUGAAGGCAGUUGCAGCCACCAGUCUGCUACCUCAGCACGAUGCAUGCACACUGAGCGCUUCCCAGUUUGCAUCACUGGUUCCUGGUGCUCUGCUAGCUCCUACGUCUGCACACUGAGGGAAGCACUGCGUCAGGAGACAGGGCUGGCACGGCAACCGCUCCUUCAGCCGUGCUUACAUGACUACUUUAAUUUGACAUAUGGCACAUUACUGUCAAAACCAGUGGUCCUGUCUGCUUGCUGCUAUGUAUUAAUGUUUAUGCAGCCAAUUUUUUUUUGGCAAGGUUGGAUUUUAGCUGGAGCAGUUCCCUGAGCUUGCUCAAUGCACAGAACAUGAACAUUCACAAAAACGGAAUACAGGACCUCCGUGGCAGCCUAGAUUUAUGCCAGGUUCAUACCAGAGAAAGCAGCUGUGUGGUAAUGACCUAUGGGAAUGUCAGAACUCAAUUCACAUCGCGCGAUGAAGUCAAUGAACUGAGAUGCUCUCCACAGUUUGUCUUCAUGGCUGACAAAGAUAUCAAAACAUUUUUCAAGCACAGAAAACACUCGUAGAAGUUGAUCUUUGCCUCAUAAACGAGCUCCCAAAUUAAGCCCAAGUUCUUAGAAAGCAUCAUGGAUAUUCUUGUUAUUAAGUCAUACAGAACCCUGACUACAGAUACACGGGAAACAGUACACAGGCAUUUUCCACUGUAUGGUCAUGACAUAUUUGUGCAGCUUUUCUUGGCUCACUGGAGCAGCAAUAUAAACAGUAUCUCUCAGCUUAUGUCAGACAGAAUGAAUAGUUUUCUCAUGAUAUGGCAAGCUACUAUUUUUAUUCUGCUCUGCACAAGGCUGCCUUCAAGGACAACGUUCUCAUUGAGGGGAAUCUACACCAGGAUUACACCAGAGGAGAGGCCAAAUCCAGAAGAAUGUCUACACUGUUUGGGUCAUUUGCUUAUCUGCUGAGUGGCAGCCAGCUUCUGAAAAUGAAUCUUAAAGCAAUGGAGAUCAACUUGGAACAAAAUUUUCUGCUAUAAGAAUUCAGCCUUGAAUGGUUCCAGGAAAAUAUAAACAAAUAAAAGCUGUCUCUGAAAGGCUUUCCUGACGCUUUCUGAAGAACUGAGGUGCAUUGGAGUCCUGUGCCAGCGCAGAUCUCAUCAUGGGAGACAUCCAAAAAAGUUACAUCACAGAUCUGAAAUGUUUGGACUGGGAAAUGAAGGAUUCAGUUUCACUAUUCUUCUCAAAAUCUUCCUAUUUUAAGGAAUAUUUUUGGUUUUGUGGUUGGAUGACAAAUCCUUCAGCAUUAAAAAAAAUAUUUUGAUUAACAUUUUCCAUACUUUGACCACAGGAUAGUUAAAUUCUUAAGCAGGAAUCGUAUACAUUGAAUUCUGUGACCCACAGAAACUUCAAGUUUUAAUUCAUAGAUGGAAUUACCAUAUUACAAAAAAAGGAAUCAAAUAUCAUCGAAGUGAAAGGAAGAGGAAAAUCUGAAUAAGAAAAGAAGAAUCUGGAAAGAGAUCAGAAUGGCUGUGGAGGUUCUGCACUCUGAUGUCUUUCAGCCCUGGGGAGAAUGGGCUGCAACCACUCCUGAGAUUCCUCCCCCUCCAGUAACGCAUCUGUGACUCACACAGAACACAGGCAAUUAUUAGAGGUUUUACUGAGGGACAUUACGUUUUUUCUUAUUUAUGGCCACACAAUCAUCUUACAGAAGCAGUUAGUAAGUUGUUUCUAAAACAUCAGUGACUUGUGUUAGGUAGGGGGAUGACACCACUGUCAUUGCUCCAAAUGGAUGCUUUAUAGCACUGCAGUAGGAAAAAAAACCACAGCUUAACGCUCACUUAUUGCAGUGCAGAAGCCAAUGCGUGCAGCCUUAACUUAAAAAUGCUUGAAGAACCAUUUGAAACAAUGGCUGUGAAGCACUGGGCAUUCCCACUGAGCCGAGCAGACAGCUUCCAGCAGUGUGCCACUUCCAUCACGGCUGCAGCACGAAAUGCAAAGCUGCUGUGACACGUACAGCCAUGUCAGACGGUGAAAGCUUCUGCACUGAGGGCACCUCAUACCAGAAGGAGUUAGAGGCAAACCUGAGGAGUUAAAUAAAAUGUUGCCUUGUUUUCCUUAGGAAUUCUGAGUUUCAAACUGACACUAAUGAGCUAACAAACACCCUUUUCUGUUGCACAUAUUAUAAUUCUGUACAGAAGUGACAUUCAAGUGCUCUAAAUACCAGGAGCACUCACAUUCUUGGACUAAGACCCUUCCUAAGUGGCUCUCCAGCUAACUUCGUCUGUUUUGUG
Molecule: long non-coding RNA, 2582 nt
Organism: Numida meleagris (helmeted guineafowl)
Lineage: Eukaryota; Metazoa; Chordata; Aves; Galliformes; Numididae
Exons: 3
Source: RefSeq, a predicted model, not a curated record